AUAAGUUAGGUUUUUUCGAAAAAUUUAGUUUUGGUAUAAGUUAGGUUUUUAAGAAAAAGUUAGAUUUUUAAGAAAAAGUUAGGUUUUUAAGAAAAAGUUAGUUUUGGUAUAAGUUAGGUUUUUUAGAAAAAGUUAGGUUUUUUCGAAAAAGUUAGUUUUGGUAUA
This is a long non-coding RNA of Anopheles funestus (African malaria mosquito), 165 nucleotides long. RefSeq lists it as uncharacterized. The record is from RefSeq and is a predicted model, not a curated record. The transcript is spliced from 3 exons. NCBI's taxonomy places the organism in Eukaryota, Metazoa, Arthropoda, Insecta, Diptera, Culicidae.